This 338-nucleotide ribosomal RNA is filed under the name uncultured bacterium. RNAcentral's name for it is "bacterial SSU rRNA". It matches the Rfam family "Bacterial small subunit ribosomal RNA", at positions 32 to 350 of the family's 1533-position model. The record is from RNAcentral.
AAUCAACGCUGGCGGCGUGCCUCAGACAUGCAAGUCGAACGCGAAAGUUCCCUUCGGGGGAUAAGUAGAGUGGCGUCCGGGUGAGUAACACGUAGGUAAUCUACCUUUGGGUGGGGAAUAACAACCGGAAACGGUUGCUAAUACCGCAUAAUGCAGCGGCACCACAUGGUGACAGUUGUUAAAGCGGGGGAUCGCAAGACCUCGCGCCUAAAGAGGAGCCUGCGGCGGAUUAGCUAGUUGGAGGGUAACGGCCUACCAAGGCAACGAUCCGUAGCCGGCCUGAGAGGGCGGUCGGCCACACUGACACUGAAAUACGGGUCAGACUCCUACGGGAGGCA